UAGUACCGCAGAUCUCGCCACAUGGGUGCGCUGUUGUACUUUCUGCCGCGCCACAGUACAUUCUCUCUCUGCUCUGCUCUUGUUUAGUGUGUGCCACACGCCCUCACAGUUUCUGUCACACACUCAGACAACGUGAGUUCAGAAUCCGGUUGUCUUAAGUUAAACGCACUAAGAAACACCUGAACGAACAGAGACGAGCUGCUGUCCGGUAUCUGACUCGGGUCUCACUCUGAGCACAUCAUUGGUUCCGGUGACAUCCGUUACCAUACCGCACUGAUGACAUCUUAUUUAAUCACGCAGCAGACGACAAGACAAGAAACCUGUGCUAUCAGCCAAAGACACUACAUAAAAAAUAUGCAGCUCAGAAAGAGCAAGAAAGAAGGGGUACACUGCAGUGUUCACUCUUCUGUUUCACUGGGGACAUCAGGAACAGGUAAAAUUAAUCAUUUGGUCGACAUAUUCCUUGUAGGCUUGUCUGUUCCUGUAUGGAUGAUCAAUAUAACCACGGCCCCACAGAUAGAAAGAAACCAAGAAGACCAGCAUCUCAAGACAAGUUAAGGCCAUAAAAGGCGAACCAGUGAA
Molecule: long non-coding RNA, 582 nt
Organism: Cyprinus carpio (common carp)
Lineage: Eukaryota; Metazoa; Chordata; Actinopteri; Cypriniformes; Cyprinidae
Exons: 3
Source: RefSeq, a predicted model, not a curated record